This 700-nucleotide ribosomal RNA is filed under the name uncultured Roseateles sp. RNAcentral describes it as "bacterial SSU rRNA". It matches the Rfam family "Bacterial small subunit ribosomal RNA", at positions 61 to 763 of the family's 1533-position model. Lineage: Bacteria; Pseudomonadati; Pseudomonadota; Betaproteobacteria; Burkholderiales; Sphaerotilaceae. The record is from RNAcentral.
GUCGAACGGUAACAGGUUAAGCUGACGAGUGGCGAACGGGUGAGUAAUGUAUCGGAACGUGCCCAGUCGUGGGGGAUAACUGCUCGAAAGAGCAGCUAAUACCGCAUACGACCUGAGGGUGAAAGCGGGGGAUCGCAAGACCUCGCGCGAUUGGAGCGGCCGAUAUCAGAUUAGGUAGUUGGUGAGGUAAAGGCUCACCAAGCCGACGAUCUGUAGCUGGUCUGAGAGGACGACCAGCCACACUGGGACUGAGACACGGCCCAGACUCCUACGGGAGGCAGCAGUGGGGAAUUUUGGACAAUGGGCGCAAGCCUGAUCCAGCCAUGCCGCGUGCGGGAAGAAGGCCUUCGGGUUGUAAACCGCUUUUGUCAGGGAAGAAAAGGUUCUGGCUAAUACCUGGGACUCAUGACGGUACCUGAAGAAUAAGCACCGGCUAACUACGUGCCAGCAGCCGCGGUAAUACGUAGGGUGCAAGCGUUAAUCGGAAUUACUGGGCGUAAAGCGUGCGCAGGCGGUUAUGCAAGACAGAGGUGAAAUCCCCGGGCUCAACCUGGGAACUGCCUUUGUGACUGCAUGGCUAGAGUACGGUAGAGGGGGAUGGAAUUCCGCGUGUAGCAGUGAAAUGCGUAGAUAUGCGGAGGAACACCGAUGGCGAAGGCAAUCCCCUGGACCUGUACUGACGCUCAUGCACGAAAGCGUG